RNAcentral lists this ribosomal RNA (419 nucleotides) under uncultured Prevotellaceae bacterium. RNAcentral describes it as "bacterial SSU rRNA". It matches the Rfam family "Bacterial small subunit ribosomal RNA", at positions 355 to 769 of the family's 1533-position model. Lineage: Bacteria; Pseudomonadati; Bacteroidota; Bacteroidia; Bacteroidales; Prevotellaceae. The record is from RNAcentral.
UAAGGGAUAUUGGUCAAUGGGGCGGGAGCCUGAACCAGCCAUGCCGCGUGAGGGAAUGAGGCCCUACGGGUCGUAAACCUCUUUUGCCGGGGGAUAACGGGCGCCACGCGUGGCGCCGUGAAGGUACCCGGAGAAUAAGCAUCGGCUAACUCCGUGCCAGCAGCCGCGGUAAUACGGAAGGUCCGGGCGUUAUCCGGAUUUAUUGGGUUUAAAGGGAGCGUAGGCCGUCUUUUAAGCGUGUUGUGAAAAUGCCGCGGCUCAACCGUGGCACUGCAGCGCGAACUGGAGGACUUGAGUGCGCAGGAGGUAGGCGGAAUUCGUGGUGUAGCGGUGAAAUGCUUAGAUAUCACGAAGAACCCCGAUUGCGAAGGCAGCUUACCGUAGCGUUACUGACGCUGAAGCUCGAAAGUGCGGGUAUC